Molecule: small nucleolar RNA, 74 nt
Organism: Erigeron canadensis
Lineage: Eukaryota; Viridiplantae; Streptophyta; Magnoliopsida; Asterales; Asteraceae
Product: small nucleolar RNA Z105
Exons: 1
Source: RefSeq, a predicted model, not a curated record
UGGGCAUAAUGAUGAUUGUUUAAUUUAUUCCGAUAAUUUCAUGAAUGGAUUAUCAAACCUCCUACUCAUUCUGA